RNAcentral lists this ribosomal RNA (704 nucleotides) under uncultured bacterium. RNAcentral describes it as "bacterial SSU rRNA". It matches the Rfam family "Bacterial small subunit ribosomal RNA", at positions 91 to 794 of the family's 1533-position model. The record is from RNAcentral.
GCGAGUGGCGGACGGGUGAGUAAAGCAUAGGAAUCUGCCCUGUAGUGGGGGAUAACUUGGGGAAACCUGAGCUAAUACCGCAUAUCUUCUGAGGAAGAAAGUUAGGGGUAACUCUGACNNNNUGGGAUGAGCCUAUGUCUGAUUAGCUAGUUGGUUAGGUAAAGGCUGACCAAGGCUAUGAUCGGUAACUGGUCUGAGAGGACGGACAGUCACACUGGGACUGAGACACGGCCCAGACUCCUACGGGAGGCAGCAGUGGGGAAUAUUGGACAAUGGGGGCAACCCUGAUCCAGCGAUGCCGCGUGUGUGAAGAAGGCCUGCGGGUUGUAAAGCACUUUUAUUGGGGAAGAGUGGUGUGAGGAUGAAUAGUCUUCAUACUUGACGGUACCCAAGGAAUAAGCACCGGCUAACUCUGUGCCAGCAGCCGCGGUAAUACAGAGGGUGCGAGCGUUAAUCGGAAUUACUGGGCGUAAAGGGCGCGUAGGCGGGCUGAUAAGUCAGAUGUGAAAGUCCUGGGCUUAACCUGGGGAUUGCAUUUGAAACUGUUGGUCUGGAGUGAAGUAGAGGGUGGCGGAAUUUCCGGUGUAGCGGUGAAAUGCGUAGAUAUCGGAAGGAACACCAGUGGCGAAGGCGGCCACCUGGACUUUAACUGACGCUGAGGCGCGAAAGCGUGNGGAGCGAACAGGAUUAGAUACCCUGGUAGU